This 505-nucleotide ribosomal RNA is filed under the name uncultured bacterium. RNAcentral describes it as "partial 16S ribosomal RNA". It matches the Rfam family "Bacterial small subunit ribosomal RNA", at positions 28 to 507 of the family's 1533-position model. The record is from RNAcentral.
GACGAACGCUGGCGGCGUGCCUAAUACAUGCAAGUAGAACGCACAGUUUAUACCGUAGCUUGCUACACCAUAGACUGUGAGUUGCGAACGGGUGAGUAACGCGUAGGUAACCUGCCUGGUAGCGGGGGAUAACUAAUGGAAACGAUAGCUAAUACCGCAUAAUAUUAAUUAUUGCAUGAUAAUUAAUUGAAAGGUGCAAUUGCACCACUACCAGAUGGACCUGCGUUGUAUUAGCUAGUAGGUGAGGUAACGGCUCACCUAGGCGACGAUACAUAGCCGACCGGAGAGGGUGAUCGGCCACACUGGGACUGAGACACGGCCCAGACUCCUACGGGAGGCAGCAGUAGGGAAUCUUCGGCAAUGGACGAAAGUCUGACCGAGCAACGCCGCGUGAGUGAAGAAGGUUUUCGGAUCGUAAAGCUCUGUUGUAAGAGAAGAACGGGUGUGAGAGUGGAAAGUUCACACUGUGACGGUAUCUUACCAGAAAGGGACGGCUAACUACGUG